CCGUGUUCGAAAGGGAAACAGCCCAGACCACCAGCUAAGGUCCCAAAAUAUAUGUUAAGUGGAAAAGGAUGUGGCGUUGCCCAGACAACUAGGAUGUUGGCUUAGAAGCAGCCAUCAUUUAAAGAGUGCGUAAUAGCUCACUAGUCGAGUGACACUGCGCCGAAAAUGUACCGGGGCUAAACAUAUUACCGAAGCUGUGGAUUGUCCUUUGGACAAUGGUAGGAGAGCGUUCUAAGGGCGUUGAAGCAUGAUCGUAAGGACAUGUGGAGCGCUUAGAAGUGAGAAUGCCGGUGUGAGUAGCGAAAGACGGGUGAGAAUCCCGUCCACCGAUUGACUAAGGUUUCCAGAGGAAGGCUCGUCCGCUCUGGGUUAGUCGGGUCCUAAGCUGAGGCCGACAGGCGUAGGCGAUGGAUAACAGGUUGAUAUUCCUGUACCACCUAUAAUCGUUUUAAUCGAUGGGGGGACGCAGUAGGAUAGGCGAAGCGUGCGAUUGGAUUGCACGUCUAAGCAGUAAGGCUGAGUAUUAGGCAAAUCCGGUACUCGUUAAGGCUGAGCUGUGAUGGGGAGAAGACAUUGUGUCUUCGAGUCGUUGAUUUCACACUGCCGAGAAAAGCCUCUAGAUAGAAAAUAGGUGCCCGUACCGCAAACCGACACAGGUAGUCAAGAUGAGAAUUCUAAGGUGAGCGAGCGAACUCUCGUUAAGGAACUCGGCAAAAUGACCCCGUAACUUCGGGAGAAGGGGUGCUCUUUAGGGUUAACGCCCAGAAGAGCCGCAGUGAAUAGGCCCAAGCGACUGUUUAUCAAAAACACAGGUCUCUGCUAAACCGUAAGGUGAUGUAUAGGGGCUGACGCCUGCCCGGUGCUGGAAGGUUAAGAGGAGUGGUUAGCUUCUGCGAAGCUACGAAUCGAAGCCCCAGUAAACGGCGGCCGUAACUAUAACGGUCCUAAGGUAGCGAAAUUCCUUGUCGGGUAAGUUCCGACCCGCACGAAAGGCGUAACGAUUUGGGCACUGUCUCAACGAGAGACUCGGUGAAAUCAUAGUACCUGUGAAGAUGCAGGUUACCCGCGACAGGACGGAAAGACCCCGUGGAGCUUUACUGUAGCCUGAUAUUGAAAUUCGGCACAGCUUGUACAGGAUAGGUAGGAGCCUUUGAAACGUGAGCGCUAGCUUACGUGGAGGCGCUGGUGGGAUACUACCCUAGCUGUGUUGGCUUUCUAACCCGCACCACUUAUCGUGGUGGGAGACAGUGUCAGGCGGGCAGUUUGACUGGGGCGGUCGCCUCCUAAAAGGUAACGGAGGCGCUCAAAGGUUCCCUCAGAAUGGUUGGAAAUCAUUCAUAGAGUGUAAAGGCAUAAGGGAGCUUGACUGCGAGACCUACAAGUCGAGCAGGGUCGAAAGACGGACUUAGUGAUCCGGUGGUUCCGCAUGGAAGGGCCAUCGCUCAACGGAUAAAAGCUACCCCGGGGAUAACAGGCUUAUCUCCCCCAAGAGUUCACAUCGACGGGGAGGUUUGGCACCUCGAUGUCGGCUCAUCGCAUCCUGGGGCUGUAGUCGGUCCCAAGGGUUGGGCUGUUCGCCCAUUAAAGCGGUACGCGAGCUGGGUUCAGAACGUCGUGAGACAGUUCGGUCCCUAUCCGUCGUGGGCGUAGGAAAUUUGAGAGGAGCUGUCCUUAGUACGAGAGGACCGGGAUGGACAUACCUCUGGUGUACCAGUUGUCGUGCCAACGGCAUAGCUGGGUAGCUAUGUGUGGACGGGAUAAGUGCUGAAAGCAUCUAAGCAUGAAGCCCCCCUCAAGAUGAGAUUUCCCAACUUCGGUUAUAAGAUCCCUCAAAGAUGAUGAGGUUAAUAGGUUCGAGGUGGAAGCAUGGUGACAUGUGGAGCUGACGAAUACUAAUCGAUCGAAGACUUAAUCAAAA
Molecule: ribosomal RNA, 1918 nt
Filed under: Staphylococcus aureus
Lineage: Bacteria; Bacillati; Bacillota; Bacilli; Caryophanales; Staphylococcaceae
Description: partial 23S ribosomal RNA
Rfam family: Bacterial large subunit ribosomal RNA
Source: RNAcentral